CCGGGGGUUGGGGACCACUGCUCUAUAGCGUCGUUUUGAAGGACUCAGUUUCAUUUUCAAUCCCAAAUACUAUUUUGCAGUAUAAAAGAGAGAACUGUGAACUCUAUGCAAUAGAUUGAUCAAUCCAGGUGAUGUCGGAGCCAAGGUGGCGCAGUGGUUAAAUGCAGCACUGCAGGCUACUGCUAGAUCAGCAGUCAGGUAUCUCCUGUCCUAUAAACUGGGAACUUGAUACUAGCAAUUGAACUUCAGUGUUUCUGCAGGCUGAUCAAAUAUCUCCCCUCUGACCCCACCCAUCAUGGAAGGAAUCAGGCUAACAAAUGGAUUAGGUCAUCAAUUUGCAAGGAGUAGGUAAAACUGCAGACCAGAAAUAGGAUUCAGGUCUUUUCCAUAUAUAUAUAUGGGAAUCUGCAUGGAUAUGUGAUAUAUAUCAUGACUUCGAUGCAUUAACAAUGUUAAUGCAAGUACACAAUGGCAUAAUUCACACAAUGGCUUCAGUUGGAACUUUUGAUGCUAUAGCAGCUUGCGAAAGGUCUCAAGCUCAGAUGCUUUGGCCACCCAAUGAGAAGAGAGGACUCAUGGGAAAAGAAAACCCUGAUCUUGGGAAAGACUGAAGGCAAAAGGAGGAGGGGACAGGAGAUGAUGUCGAGAUGGUUAGAUAGUGUCAUCAACUCAAGGAACAUGAAUUUGAGAAACUUCAGGAGACAGUGGAGGACGGUGUCGAGGUGUAACACUCUGCUAUGGUCCAUGGGAUCGCAAAGAGUUGGACACGUCUUAGAGACUGAACCACAAGGUUCUCACCCCCUGACUUUGCAAGGAUUGCCUUUCAGCCAGAUUUCAG
This is a long non-coding RNA of Thamnophis elegans (Western terrestrial garter snake), 838 nucleotides long. RefSeq lists it as uncharacterized. NCBI's taxonomy places the organism in Eukaryota, Metazoa, Chordata, Lepidosauria, Squamata, Natricidae. The record is from RefSeq and is a predicted model, not a curated record. The transcript has 4 exons.